GACGAACGCUGGCGGCGUGCCUAAUACAUGCAAGUAGAACGCUGAAGCUUGGUGCUUGCCCCGAGCGGAUGAGUUGCGAACGGGUGAGUAACGCGUAGGUAACCUGCCUGGUAGCGGGGGAUAACUAUUGGAAACGAUAGCUAAUACCGCAUAAGAGUAGAUGUUGCAUGACAUUUGCUUAAAAGGUGCAAUUGCAUCACUACCAGAUGGACCUGCGUUGUAUUAGCUAGUUGGUGAGGUAACGGCUCACCAAGGCAACGAUACAUAGCCGACCUGAGAGGGUGAUCGGCCACACUGGGACUGAGACACGGCCCAGACUCCUACGGGAGGCAGCAGUAGGGAAUCUUCGGCAAUGGACGGAAGUCUGACCGAGCAACGCCGCGUGAGUGAAGAAGGUUUUCGGAUCGUAAAGCUCUGUUGUAAGAGAAGAACGAGUGUGAGAGUGGAAAGUUCACACUGUGACGGUAUCUUACCAGAAAGGGACGGCUAACUACGUG
This 497-nucleotide ribosomal RNA is filed under the name uncultured bacterium. RNAcentral's name for it is "partial 16S ribosomal RNA". It matches the Rfam family "Bacterial small subunit ribosomal RNA", at positions 28 to 507 of the family's 1533-position model. The record is from RNAcentral.